Molecule: ribosomal RNA, 301 nt
Filed under: uncultured bacterium
Lineage: Bacteria
Description: partial 16S ribosomal RNA
Rfam family: Bacterial small subunit ribosomal RNA
Source: RNAcentral
CAGUCGCCACGGUAGUACGUAGGGUGCGAGCGUUAAUCGGGAUUACUGGGCGUAAAGCGUGCGCAGGCGGUUUUGUAAGACAGGCGUGAAAUCCCCGGGCUCAACCUGGGAAUGGCGCUUGUGACUGCAAAGCUAGAGUGCGGCAGAGGGGGAUGGAAUUCCGCGUGUAGCAGUGAAAUGCGUAGAUAUGCGGAGGAACACCGAUGGCAAAGGCAAUCCCCUGGGCCUGCACUGACGCUCAUGCACGAAAGCGUGGGGAGCAAACAGGAUUAGAUACCCCUGUAGUCCCUGUCUCUUAUAC